This 179-nucleotide small RNA is filed under the name Chrysemys picta bellii (western painted turtle). RNAcentral's name for it is "TUC338 (ENSCPBG00000017084.1)". Lineage: Eukaryota; Metazoa; Chordata; Testudines; Emydidae. The record is from RNAcentral.
UGAUCUGAGAGAGAGUGAAGCCCUCUGUUUAUCCACAGGACAGGUGCAGCACAGGCAGCAACUGUGCAAACUUCUUUGCCAAUGUUCCCAGAGCUCACAAGCUUAGACUGACCUGGAGGGACCAUCUCUGCUGGGGACAGAGUGUGACAGAUUUUUGUUACCAAUUUGCCUGGGCCACA